This 494-nucleotide ribosomal RNA is filed under the name Listeria innocua. RNAcentral's name for it is "bacterial SSU rRNA". It matches the Rfam family "Bacterial small subunit ribosomal RNA", at positions 29 to 504 of the family's 1533-position model. The record is from RNAcentral. Lineage: Bacteria; Bacillati; Bacillota; Bacilli; Caryophanales; Listeriaceae.
ACGAACGCUGGCGGCGUGCCUAAUACAUGCAAGUCGAACGAACGGAGGAAGAGCUUGCUCUUCCAAAGUUAGUGGCGGACGGGUGAGUAACACGUGGGCAACCUGCCUGUAAGUUGGGGAUAACUCCGGGAAACCGGGGCUAAUACCGAAUGAUAGAGUGUGGCGCAUGCCACGCUYUUGAAAGAUGGUUUCGGCUAUCGCUUACAGAUGGGCCCGCGGUGCAUUAGCUAGUUGGUAGGGUAAUGGCCUACCAAGGCAACGAUGCAUAGCCGACCUGAGAGGGUGAUCGGCCACACUGGGACUGAGACACGGCCCAGACUCCUACGGGAGGCAGCAGUAGGGAAUCUUCCGCAAUGGACGAAAGUCUGACGGAGCAACGCCGCGUGUAUGAAGAAGGUUUUCGGAUCGUAAAGUACUGUUGUUAGAGAAGAACAAGGAUAAGAGUAACUGCUUGUCCCUUGACGGUAUCUAACCAGAAAGCCACGGCUAACUAC